ACUCAGUGAAAUUGAACUCGCUGUGAAGAUGCAGUGUACCCGCGGCAAGACGGAAAGACCCCGUGAACCUUUACUAUAGCUUGACACUGAACAUUGAGCCUUGAUGUGUAGGAUAGGUGGGAGGCUUUGAAGUGUGGACGCCAGUCUGCAUGGAGCCGACCUUGAAAUACCACCCUUUAAUGUUUGAUGUUCUAACGUUGACCCGUAAUCCGGGUUGCGGACAGUGUCUGGUGGGUAGUUUGACUGGGGCGGUCUCCUCCUAAAGAGUAACGGAGGAGCACGAAGGUUGGCUAAUCCUGGUCGGACAUCAGGAGGUUAGUGCAAUGGCAUAAGCCAGCUUGACUGCGAGCGUGACGGCGCGAGCAGGUGCGAAAGCAGGUCAUAGUGAUCCGGUGGUUCUGAAUGGAAGGGCCAUCGCUCAACGGAUAAAAGGUACUCCGGGGAUAACAGGCUGAUACCGCCCAAGAGUUCAUAUCGACGGCGGUGUUUGGCACCUCGAUGUCGGCUCAUCACAUCCUGGGGCUGAAGUAGGUCCCAAGGGUAUGGCUGUUCGCCAUUUAAAGUGGUACGCGAGCUGGGUUUAGAACGUCGUGAGACAGUUCGGUCCCUAUCUGCCGUGGGCGCUGGAGAACUGAGGGGGGCUGCUCCUAGUACGAGAGGACCGGAGUGGACGCAUCACUGGUGUUCGGGUUGUCAUGCCAAUGGCACUGCCCGGUAGCUAAAUGCGGAAGAGAUAAGUGCUGAAAGCAUCUAAGCACGAAACUUGCCCCGAGAUGAGUUCUCCCUGACCCUUUAAGGGUCCUGAAGGAACGUUGAAGACGACGACGUUGAUAGGCCGGGUGUGUAAGCGCAGCGAUGCGUUGAGCUAACCGGUACUAAUGAACCGUGAGGCUUAACCUUACAACGCCGAAG
RNAcentral lists this ribosomal RNA (912 nucleotides) under Escherichia coli. RNAcentral describes it as "partial 23S ribosomal RNA". It matches the Rfam family "Bacterial large subunit ribosomal RNA", at positions 2031 to 2925 of the family's 2925-position model. The record is from RNAcentral. Lineage: Bacteria; Pseudomonadati; Pseudomonadota; Gammaproteobacteria; Enterobacterales; Enterobacteriaceae.